This 156-nucleotide small RNA is filed under the name Pedobacter alluvionis. RNAcentral's name for it is "Flavo-1 RNA". It matches the Rfam family "Flavo-1 RNA". Lineage: Bacteria; Pseudomonadati; Bacteroidota; Sphingobacteriia; Sphingobacteriales; Sphingobacteriaceae. The record is from RNAcentral.
AGCUAGCCCUGAUUGGAGCGGCAUACUUUUUUACAGCACUACCUUCAAAUUGCUGUCAUGCUGAGGAACGAAGCAUCUGUUUCAUCGGGGUGAGAUGCUUCGUGCCUCAGCAUGACAUGAACAAUAAAAAAGAUAUAGCGCAAAGCAGGACGAACA